GACGAACGCUGGCGGCGUGCUUAACACAUGCAAGUCGAACGGUAAGGCCCUUCGGGGUACACGAGUGGCGAACGGGUGAGUAACACGUGGGUGAUCUGCCCUGCACUUUGGGAUAAGCCUGGGAAACUGGGUCUAAUACCGAAUAGGACCAUGGACUUCACGGUUUGUGGUGGAAAGCUUUUGCGGUGUGGGAUGGGCCCGCGGCCUAUCAGCUUGUUGGUGGGGUAAUGGCCUACCAAGGCGACGACGGGUUAGCCGGCCUGAGAGGGUGACCGGCCACACUGGGACUGAGAUACGGCCCAGACUCCUACGGGAGGCAGCAGUGGGGAAUAUUGCACAAUGGGCGCAAGCCUGAUGCAGCGACGCCGCGUGAGGGAUGACGGCCUUCGGGUU
This 393-nucleotide ribosomal RNA is filed under the name uncultured bacterium. RNAcentral describes it as "bacterial SSU rRNA". It matches the Rfam family "Bacterial small subunit ribosomal RNA", at positions 28 to 424 of the family's 1533-position model. The record is from RNAcentral.